RNAcentral lists this microRNA (21 nucleotides) under Helianthus annuus (common sunflower). Lineage: Eukaryota; Viridiplantae; Streptophyta; Magnoliopsida; Asterales; Asteraceae. The record is from RNAcentral.
GUCGGUGAUGUUGUCAAGGAG